ACCUAUAAGAUGACUUGUAACGCUCAUGAAAAGCUUGAGAACAACCUUCGAAAGAACAGGAAGGAUAUGGCACUAAGAUUCAUGAAGACCACUUAAAAGGAAGUUCAAGUGAUGAGAACUAUGAUGAUGACUUGGGACUCUUCACAAGAAAGUUCAAAAAAUUUAUAAAAAAAGUAAAUCUAAAAAUAACACUAAAAAUAAAAUUAAAC
Molecule: long non-coding RNA, 209 nt
Filed under: Musa acuminata (dwarf banana)
Lineage: Eukaryota; Viridiplantae; Streptophyta; Magnoliopsida; Zingiberales; Musaceae
Description: long non-coding RNA (MACU_LNC006583)
Source: RNAcentral